This 771-nucleotide ribosomal RNA is filed under the name uncultured Providencia sp. RNAcentral's name for it is "bacterial SSU rRNA". It matches the Rfam family "Bacterial small subunit ribosomal RNA", at positions 731 to 1502 of the family's 1533-position model. Lineage: Bacteria; Pseudomonadati; Pseudomonadota; Gammaproteobacteria; Enterobacterales; Morganellaceae. The record is from RNAcentral.
UGGACAAGACUGACGCUCAGGUGCGAAAGCGUGGGGAGCAAACAGGAUAGAUACCCUGGUAGUCCACGCUGUAAACGAUGUCGAUUUGGAGGUUGUUCCCUUGAGGAGUGGCUUCCGGAGCUAACGCGUUAAAUCGACCGCCUGGGGAGUACGGCCGCAAGGUUAAAACUCAAAUGAAUUGACGGGGGCCCGCACAAGCGGUGGAGCAUGUGGUUUAAUUCGAUGCAACGCGAAGAACCUUACCUACUCUUGACAUCCAGAGAAUUUAGCAGAGAUGCUUUAGUGCCUUCGGGAACUCUGAGACAGGUGCUGCAUGGCUGUCGUCAGCUCGUGUUGUGAAAUGUUGGGUUAAGUCCCGCAACGAGCGCAACCCUUAUCCUUUGUUGCCAGCACAUUAUGGUGGGAACUCAAAGGAGACUGCCGGUGAUAAACCGGAGGAAGGUGGGGAUGACGUCAAGUCAUCAUGGCCCUUACGAGUAGGGCUACACACGUGCUACAAUGGCGUAUACAAAGAGAAACGACCUCGCGAGAGCAAGCGGAACUCAUAAAGUACGUCGUAGUCCGGAUUGGAGUCUGCAACUCGACUCCAUGAAGUCGGAAUCGCUAGUAAUCGUAGAUCAGAAUGCUACGGUGAAUACGUUCCCGGGCCUUGUACACACCGCCCGUCACACCAUGGGAGUGGGUUGCAAAAGAAGUAGGUAGCUUAACCUUCGGGAGGGCGCUUACCACUUUGUGAUUCAUGACUGGGGUGAAGUCGUAACAAGGUAACCA